AACGAACGCUGGCGGCAUGCCUAACACAUGCAAGUCGAACGAGACCUUCGGGUCUAGUGGCGCACGGGUGCGUAACGCGUGGGAACCUGCCCUUAGGUUCGGAAUAACUCCCCGAAAGGGGUGCUAAUACCGGAUAAUGUCUUCGGACCAAAGAUUUAUCGCCUUUGGAUGGGCCCGCGUUGGAUUAGCUAGUUGGUAGGGUAAAAGCCUACCAAGGCGACGAUCCAUAGCUGGUCUGAGAGGAUGAUCAGCCACACUGGGACUGCGACACGGCCCAGACUCCUACGGGAGGCAGCAGUGGGGAAUAUUGGACAAUGGGCGAAAGCCUGAUCCAGCCAUGCCGCGUGAGUGAUGAAGGCCUUAGGGUUGUAAAGCUCUUUUACCCGGGAUGAUAAUGACAGUACCGGGAGAAUAAGCUCCGGCUAACUCCGUG
This 433-nucleotide ribosomal RNA is filed under the name uncultured bacterium. Its description in RNAcentral is "partial 16S ribosomal RNA". It matches the Rfam family "Bacterial small subunit ribosomal RNA", at positions 29 to 507 of the family's 1533-position model. The record is from RNAcentral.